Molecule: ribosomal RNA, 253 nt
Filed under: uncultured bacterium
Lineage: Bacteria
Description: partial 16S ribosomal RNA
Rfam family: Bacterial small subunit ribosomal RNA
Source: RNAcentral
GACAGAGGUGCCGAGCGUUAGGCGGAAUCACUGGGCUUAAAGCGUGUGUAGGCGGGCGGGCAAGUACCUUGUGAAAUCCCACGGCUCAACCGUGGAACUGCUGGGUAUACUGCCUGUCUUGAGCCAGCCAGGGGCAGUCGGAACAGACGGUGGAGCGGUGAAAUGCGUAGAUAUCGCUUGGAACGCCAAAGGUGAAAACAGGUUGCUGGGAAUGUGCCGACGCUGAGACACGAAAGCCAGGGGAGCAAACGGG